AACGAACGCUGGCGGCAUGCCUAACACAUGCAAGUCGAACGAAACCUCCGUGCCUGGUGGCGCCCGGGUUCGUAACGCGGGGGAACCUGCCCUUAGGUUCGGCAUAACUCCCCGAGAGGGGUGCUAAUACCGGAUAAUAUCUUCGGACCAAAGAUUUAUGGCCUUUGGAUGGGCCCGCGUUUGUUUAGUUAGUGGGUAGGGUAAACGCUUCCCACGGGGUUGAUGCGUAGCUGAUCUGAGAGGGUGACAAGCGACACGGGGACCGGGACACGGCCCAGACUGCUACAGGAGGGAGGAGUAUGGAAUAAUGGACGCUGGGCGAAAGCCGGAUCGAGCCGUGGCGGGUGAGUGAUGAAGGCUUGAGGAUUGUAAAGCUCUUUUACCCGGGAUGAUAAUGACAGUACCGGGAGAAUAAGCACCGGCUAACUACGUG
This 433-nucleotide ribosomal RNA is filed under the name uncultured bacterium. Its description in RNAcentral is "partial 16S ribosomal RNA". It matches the Rfam family "Bacterial small subunit ribosomal RNA", at positions 29 to 507 of the family's 1533-position model. The record is from RNAcentral.